UGGGGAAUAUUGCACAAUGGGCGCAAGCCUGAUGCAGCGACGCCGCGUGGGGGAUGACGGCCUUCGGGUUGUAAACCUCUUUCAGCAGGGACGAAGCGAAAGUGACGGUACCUGCAGAAGAAGCACCGGCCAACUACGUGCCAGCAGCCGCGGUAAUACGUAGGGUGCGAGCGUUGUCCGGAAUUACUGGGCGUAAAGAGCUCGUAGGUGGUUUGUCGCGUUGUUCGUGAAAACCGGGGGCUUAACCCUCGGCGUGCGGGCGAUACGGGCAGACUAGAGUACUGCAGGGGAGACUGGAAUUCCUGGUGUAGCGGUGGAAUGCGCAGAUAUCAGGAGGAACACCGGUGGCGAAGGCGGGUCUCUGGGCAGUAACUGACGCUGAGGAGCGAAAGCGUGGGGAGCGAACAGGAUUAGAUACCCUGGUAGUCCACGCCGUAAACGGUGGGUACUAGGUGUGGGUUUCCUUCCUUGGGAUCCGUGCCGUAGCUAACGCAUUAAGUACCCCGCCUGGGGAGUACGGCCGCAAGGCUAAAACUCAAAGGAAUUGACGGGGUCAUAGCUG
This 562-nucleotide ribosomal RNA is filed under the name uncultured bacterium. RNAcentral's name for it is "partial 16S ribosomal RNA". It matches the Rfam family "Bacterial small subunit ribosomal RNA", at positions 355 to 932 of the family's 1533-position model. The record is from RNAcentral.